Molecule: long non-coding RNA, 1098 nt
Organism: Macrobrachium nipponense
Lineage: Eukaryota; Metazoa; Arthropoda; Malacostraca; Decapoda; Palaemonidae
Exons: 3
Source: RefSeq, a predicted model, not a curated record
CAACAGCAGCAUCAUCAUCAGUGUUUCUAUUUGACGAAAACGGUGCCUACUGUCACGGCAGGCGGCUUUGUCAUGUAAGAAGAGGAUCAUAGGUAAUAUUUAAACGAAAACUAUCCAUUUUCUGUUUAUGAAAGGAAGGAAGGAACCAAGAGACCAAGUUAACAAGACGAUGAUGCUCGUCAUCUAUUUUCUUGGAAUAUUUUCCCAUGAAUCAUGACUGGUGUCGUUUCAUACAGCCUGGAUGGAAUAGCUUACUACUUAGUACGUACUACAGGUUACCUUGAACCGCUCUUGGCGGCAUAACAACAGCGCCUAUUUACACCACAUCAAGUCGUCGUCUGAGGCUUUGAAUAAUUAUUCUGAAGAGCAAACUUGCUGAAUGUUGGGUCGUUUGCUGCCUUUGCCUUUUUAUGAACAAAUUAAACCAAAUCUGCAAAACCAACUCCUCCCUUUUCUUCCCUCAAAUGUCCAGCCAGGCUACACCACUUGUUCUGAAGAUAACCUGUUUUGUUAUAAAUGAUCACUGGUAAUCUGUGAAGGAACAUGUUUUCUAUGGAUCGAGUUAACUUUCCUCAAUAACAUACUCUAGGUAAGUGAUAUAAAAGUGAAGUAAUUACAAUAAGAGAGUGUCCUUAUAUUGAAUCUUGAGUCACUUAAUGACACAAUUGCAUUGUUGACGACCCAGGCUGUGAGUUAUUCACGAUGCACUGACUGACAUUUUUGGCAGCUUUCAUCUUGUUACUUUGAGCUUUUGUUUUAAAUGUUAACAUACCACAAACUGCAGAUAAUCUGUUGUUCCUACACAAUACACAAACCCUCGGCCUUUAUCAUAGGAAUUGUCUUCAGCAAAGCCAUUAAACUUUUAACAAGCUGGUUCAGCAGUUAACUACUGAACAACCGGGUGGGAGUCCCACCCUCCUGGUCGGUAGAGUGUUACUUUACCUUCAGCUGUGAAUGUGCUGCAUGCUGCCCUCAUCCCUGCUUGCCGUUUGCUUCACUUUGUUUGCUUUGCUAAACAUCACUCUUUCCUGGUGGGGUUAGUAUUCUUUUUAUUCAAGGGUCUUACCAAGAAGUUUAUUGAGCUGUAGGAUCCUUACC